This 200-nucleotide ribosomal RNA is filed under the name uncultured eukaryote. RNAcentral describes it as "partial 18S ribosomal RNA". The record is from RNAcentral.
UCGUGGAGUGAUCUGUCUGCUUAAUUGCGUUUUAGAUAUAUAAAGGUAAGUUUAUAUUGUGAGGUAUAUUGUCUUUACUUCGGUAGGGCUAUACUGAGCAACGAACGUGACCUCAGCUCAAUGUUAUCUCUACUUUUAAAAGAGACCAACUUUGAGGACCGACAGAGUUGUCAACUCGGAGGAAGGUUGAGGCAAUAACA